RNAcentral lists this ribosomal RNA (421 nucleotides) under uncultured bacterium. Its description in RNAcentral is "bacterial SSU rRNA". It matches the Rfam family "Bacterial small subunit ribosomal RNA", at positions 355 to 774 of the family's 1533-position model. The record is from RNAcentral.
UAAGGAAUAUUGGUCAAUGGACGCAAGUCUGAACCAGCCAUGCCGCGUGAAGGAUGAAGGUCCUCUGGAUUGUAAACUUCUUUUAUCUGGGACGAAAACGGGAUUUUUAUCUCAAUUGACGGUACCAGAGGAAUAAGCACCGGCUAACUCCGUGCCAGCAGCCGCGGUAAUACGGAGGGUGCGAGCGUUAUCCGGAUUUACUGGGUUUAAAGGGUGCGUAGGUGGGCUUAUAAGUCAGUGGUGAAAUCUCCGAGCUUAACUUGGAAACUGCCGUUGAUACUAUAGGUCUUGAAUUAUCUGGAGGUAAGCGGAAUAUAUCAUGUAGCGGUGAAAUGCUUAGAUAUGACAUAGAACACCAAUUGCGAAGGCAGCUUACUACAUAUAAAUUGACGCUGAGGCACGAAAGCGUGGGGAUCAAACA